This 377-nucleotide ribosomal RNA is filed under the name uncultured bacterium. Its description in RNAcentral is "bacterial SSU rRNA". It matches the Rfam family "Bacterial small subunit ribosomal RNA", at positions 790 to 1167 of the family's 1533-position model. The record is from RNAcentral.
GUAGUCCACGCCGUAAACGGUGGGCACUAGAUGUGGGGACCAUUCCAUGGUUUCCGCGUCGCAGCUAACGCAUUAAGUGCCCCGCCUGGGGAGUACGGCCGCAAGGCUAAAACUCAAAGGAAUUGACGGGGGCCCGCACAAGCGGCGGAGCAUGCGGAUUAAUUCGAUGCAACGCGAAGAACCUUACCAAGGCUUGACAUAUACGGUCUAUCCCUAGAGAUAGGGAGUGCUUCGGCGCCGUAUACAGGUGGUGCAUGGUUGUCGUCAGCUCGUGUCGUGAGAUGUUGGGUUAAGUCCCGCAACGAGCGCAACCCUCGUCCUAUGUUGCCAGCGGAUAAUGCCGGGGACUCAUGGGAGACUGCCGGGGUCAACUCGGA